This 253-nucleotide ribosomal RNA is filed under the name uncultured bacterium. RNAcentral describes it as "partial 16S ribosomal RNA". It matches the Rfam family "Bacterial small subunit ribosomal RNA", at positions 524 to 776 of the family's 1533-position model. The record is from RNAcentral.
UACAGAGGUCCCAAGCGUUGUUCGGAUUCACUGGGCGUAAAGGGUGCGCAGGCGGUCCUGCAAGUCAGGCGUGAAAUCCCCGGGCUUAACCUGGGAAUGGCACUUGAAACUACGGGACUGGAGUAUGGCAGAGGGAGGUGGAAUUCCACGUGUAGCGGUGAAAUGCGUAGAGAUGUGGAGGAACACCGAUGGCGAAGGCAGCCUCCUGGGCCAAUACUGACGCUCAUGCACGAAAGCGUGGGGAGCAAACAGG